Drosophila yakuba is the source of this 770-nucleotide long non-coding RNA. RefSeq lists it as uncharacterized. Lineage: Eukaryota; Metazoa; Arthropoda; Insecta; Diptera; Drosophilidae. The transcript has 2 exons. The record is from RefSeq and is a predicted model, not a curated record.
UAGAAUUUUACAAGACCAAUACAAAAAUGAAUAAAUAUCUAAACAUUUCUCAAGUGUGGGCGUGGCAUACUGUAGCUGUUUCAACCUUUUUUUUUUAUUUCCCGCAAAUGAUUUUAUUUCCUUCAUUCCAAUCAAAAGUGCACUUUUUGCAGGCUGGACUUUGAUGGCUCAUUUAAUUUUGUUUUUCAAUUAGUAAAAUCAACAGCAAAAAAAAAUUUUGCCCACACUAUAAUUAAUCGUGUUUACAGCUAACACACACAGAAAAAAAACGAAAACCGCCAGAACUAUUUGGUGGUUAUGGUGUUUUUACUACAGUUUAAAACAAUAGGAGCAUGCGGACAUGCGGAUACCCGAGGAUAUUUAGACGGUGAUAGAGAACCCACAAUGCACCCGAUUGCACAAAAAAGAUGGAAGUAAGCGGAAGAACUGCCCCUGUGAACUGUAAUUUCUAGCCACUUACAUCAUCUGGAACAAGUUUGCAACUCCAUAAAGUUCGUUAGCACGUCUCGGCAACGCCAUUCAUCCAAAGCAACGAAAGCCGUUAAGUGCCUCCCAGAAUCUGACUCAUUCCAAGGAGUUGCAAAGACCUCCAUUAGAAAAGAAAGGCGGAGAAGCCGCAAGAAAUAAUAUGCCUGCAGGGGGAGGGACCACGGACGAGGUGUUUCUCAUCGACUUGGGAAAAGUGUUCAUUUAAGGCCACGCUCCAAACAGGCGUAUUUAAACAAAAGCCGCGCCUGGAUGAACCGAAAUAAAUAUUGAUGUUCCUUCAA